GUGUGUGUGUGUGUGUGCAUCCUAUGGGACAUUUGGCAAUGUCUGGAGACUUUUUUGGUUGUGACAACUCAGGGAGUGCAACUGGCA
Molecule: non-coding RNA, 87 nt
Organism: Ceratotherium simum simum (southern white rhinoceros)
Lineage: Eukaryota; Metazoa; Chordata; Mammalia; Perissodactyla; Rhinocerotidae
Source: RefSeq, a predicted model, not a curated record